AGUGAACGCUGGCGGUAGGCCUAACACAUGCAAGUCGAACGGCAGCACAGUAAGAGCUUGCUCUUACGGGUGGCGAGUGGCGGACGGGUGAGGAAUACAUCGGAAUCUACUUUUUCGUGGGGGAUAACGUAGGGAAACUUACGCUAAUACCGCAUACGACCUACGGGUGAAAGCAGGGGAUCUUCGGACCUUGCGCGAUUGAAUGAGCCGAUGUCGGAUUAGCUAGUUGGCGGGGUAAAGGCCCACCAAGGCGACGAUCCGUAGCUGGUCUGAGAGGAUGGACCGGCACAAUGGAACUGAGACAAGGUCCAAACCCCCAAGGGGAGGAGCCGUUGGGAAUAAUGGACAAAGGGCGGAAACCUGAUCCAAGCAUUCCGGGUGGGUGAAGAAGGGCUUCGGGUUGUUAAGCCCUUUUGUUGGGAAAGAAAAGCAGCAAGUUUAUACCCCGCUGUUCUGAAGGUACCCAAAGAAUAAGGACCGGCUAAAUUCGUG
This 492-nucleotide ribosomal RNA is filed under the name uncultured bacterium. Its description in RNAcentral is "partial 16S ribosomal RNA". It matches the Rfam family "Bacterial small subunit ribosomal RNA", at positions 29 to 507 of the family's 1533-position model. The record is from RNAcentral.